This 498-nucleotide ribosomal RNA is filed under the name uncultured bacterium. Its description in RNAcentral is "partial 16S ribosomal RNA". It matches the Rfam family "Bacterial small subunit ribosomal RNA", at positions 28 to 507 of the family's 1533-position model. The record is from RNAcentral.
GACGAACGCUGGCGGCGUGCCUAAUACAUGCAAGUCGAACGAGAGCGACCGGUGCUUGCACUGGUCAAUCUAGUGGCGAACGGGUGAGUAACACGUGGGUAACCUGCCCAUCAGAGGGGGAUAACAUCCGGAAACGGAUGCUAAAACCGCAUAGGUCUUCGAGCCGCAUGGCUUGAAGAGGAAAAGAGGCGCAAGCUUCUGCUGAUGGAUGGGCCCGCGGUGCAUUAGCUAGUUGGUGAGGUAACGGCUCACCAAGGCCGUGAUGCAUAGCCGACCUGAGAGGGUGAUCGGCCACAUUGGGACUGAGAAACGGCCCAAACUCCUACGGGAGGCAGCAGUAGGGAAUCUUCCGCAAUGGACGCAAGUCUGACGGAGCAACGCCGCGUGAGUGAAGAAGGUUUUCGGAUCGUAAAACUCUGUUGUUAGAGAAGAACAAGUGCUAGAGUAACUGUUAGCGCCUUGACGGUAUCUAACCAGAAAGCCACGGCUAACUACGUG